GACGAACGCUGGCGGCGUGCUUAACACAUGCAAGUCGAACGGAAAGGCCCUGCUUUUGUGGGGUGCUCGAGUGGCGAACGGGUGAGUAACACGUGAGUAACCUGCCCUUGACUUUGGGAUAACUUCAGGAAACUGGGGCUAAUACCGGAUAGGAGCUCCUGCUGCAUGGUGGGGGUUGGAAAGUUUCGGCGGUUGGGGAUGGACUCGCGGCUUAUCAGCUUGUUGGUGGGGUAGUGGCUUACCAAGGCUUUGACGGGUAGCCGGCCUGAGAGGGUGACCGGCCACAUUGGGACUAAGGUACGGCGCAGACUCCUACGGGAGGCAGCAGUGGGGAAUAUUACACAAUGGGCGGGAGCCUGAUACAACAACGCCGCGUGCGGAAUGACGGCCUUCGGGUUGUAAACCGCUUUCGCCUGUGACGAAGCGUGAGUGACGGUAAUGGGUAAAGAAGCACCGGCUAACUACGUG
This 468-nucleotide ribosomal RNA is filed under the name uncultured bacterium. RNAcentral's name for it is "partial 16S ribosomal RNA". It matches the Rfam family "Bacterial small subunit ribosomal RNA", at positions 28 to 507 of the family's 1533-position model. The record is from RNAcentral.